Molecule: ribosomal RNA, 167 nt
Filed under: Staphylococcus aureus
Lineage: Bacteria; Bacillati; Bacillota; Bacilli; Caryophanales; Staphylococcaceae
Also listed under: 2 other names
Description: partial 16S ribosomal RNA
Rfam family: Bacterial small subunit ribosomal RNA
Source: RNAcentral
UUUAUGGAGAGUUUGAUCCUGGCUCAGGAUGAACGCUGGCGGCGUGCCUAAUACAUGCAAGUCGAGCGAACGGACGAGAAGCUUGCUUCUCUGAUGUUAGCGGCGGACGGGUGAGUAACACGUGGAUAACCUACCUAUAAGACUGGGAUAACUUCGGGAAACCGGAG